This is an RNA transcript of Magnolia sinica, 3664 nucleotides long. It is a transcript of the gene named protein FLX-like 3, with no coding region annotated. The transcript has 7 exons. NCBI's taxonomy places the organism in Eukaryota, Viridiplantae, Streptophyta, Magnoliopsida, Magnoliales, Magnoliaceae. The record is from RefSeq and is a predicted model, not a curated record.
UUAAGUGCCUGAGUAUCGUUUAUCAUACUCUACCAGAGUAUCAAGGUUAUUCUCAUCUAUAAAAUUCCACACGAAGGAAUGGAAGAGAAGAAGCCCGCCCUUUCUUUCCUAGGUUUUCCUCGCUCAAGGGAAAUCCAAGAUGGCAGGUAGAGGUAGGAUGCCUCGUCAUGUUGUUGAUGAUCGACGUGGUUACCCUGACAUCCAUGAAGGCCCACCAUUUGUUCGGGGUCCCAUGCCUCGACCACCUCAUCCUGCAUUAUUGGAGGAAGAGCUUGAAAUCCGUCAUGCUGAAAUCCGGAGGCUUGUAGGGGAUAACCGUCGUUUGGCUGAAGAUCGUUUGGGCUUGCAGAGGGAGCUAGGCAUUGCGAAGGAGGAACUGCAUCGCAUGAACGUUGCCAUUACAAAUAUUCGUGCAGAAAAGGAAGCCCAUAGUAGAGAGUUGAUUGAGAAAGGCAUGAAGCUAGAAGCUGAUCUACGUGCAACUGAGCCUUUGAGAAACGAGGUUAUACAGCUACGGGCAGAUGUUCAGAAAUUGAAUUCCUUGAGGCAAGAAAUGGCUGGGAAAAUUCAAACUCUUUCACAAGAUAUGGGGAGGCUACAAGCGGACAAUCAACAGAUUCCUAUUUUGAGGGCAGAGAUUGACGGUCUAAGCCAAGAGCUUGGACGUGCUAGGACUGCUUUUGAGUAUGAGAAGAAGGCAAAUACUGAGCUACUUGAACAGAGGCAAGCGAUGGAGAAAAAUUUGGUUACCAUGGCUCGUGAAGUUGAAAAACUACGGGCAGAUAUUGCAAGUACCGAUGCUAGACCAUGGGGUGCUGGUGGCACUUAUGGGGUAAAACUUGGUAGUCCUGAUGGGGGCUUUCCUGCUUCAUAUGGGGAUGGAUAUGGACUUCGCUCGGGUGUUUCUGACAAGGGUCCUCUGUUUGGCGCCGGUUCUGGUUCAUGGGGAGCAUUUGAGAAGCCUCGCCUUGGGCGCCGCUGAGAUCCAGUUGAUUUGCUAUUAGAGCAUGAUCCUUGUUUAGCCUGCUGGUGCUUCAAUAUUGAAAGGAAAGAGUCCAACUGCACUCAUAAUGGAUCAUUGUUUGGAAGGAAAUCUUGAAAAGUUGAUCAAGCACUCAGUGGUUGAUAGUUGGAAAGCUGAUCUUAUGGUCCUUAAAGAUUAACUUCGACGGUAGCUCUGCGAUAAGCUGUGUCUAGCACAUUUGAGGAACAUCACAAUGAGCAUGUGGAGCCUCAAUGUAUCACCUUCCUUCCAUUAGUUGUAGCGUAUGGGAGGAAAAAAUGCAUCUCAAUUUCAGAGGUUUGUUUAUUGAUGCAUGCCAUGGAUGAGAGGGGAAAGAUGAAGCUGGUGCCCUGAUCCCCUUCAGUGUGGACAGAUUUUAUAGUAAACUUUCAUUGGUGAUUUGAGUGAGAAUGAGGACAAUAUAGCCGGUUGGUGGUUUCCAGGUAAGUAAUAUGGUGGGGAAGUGGGGAUGCCAUGUCAUCCAGAGAGCAGUAAUCUUAUUGGUUUGCUUGAUUCAUUAUUGUACGUGGAAGUAAAACUUCCUGGUAGCCAGAUGCUGGAUUUAUAUGCAUGAGGCUCUAUCAUGCAUGUCAUUGAUUCCUCGUGCUUGCAGACAUUCUCUUGAUUUGAACAUGGUCUGGUAGCCAAAUGCGCAAGUGUGUGUGAUAGAGAAAGCUAGGCUGUAGGAGGGGCUUCGACACCAUAAUUUGAAUUUCCCCAUUUAGCUACCAUGGUGAUGUUGGAUCAAGGAACUUUGUAUUGUUUACGAAGAUCUAGUAGAGGCAAUUAUUCAGAUUAUCAGUAUUGUUACAUGUAUUGAUAACCGAGGAUAUGAAGAGAUGUAACAUAUCACCUAUAUUUGGAAAAACGUCGCUGACCUAGGGAAACAUUGAGAAAAAAGACGGAAUUUUUUAGUGAAACUCUUAAGAGAUGUUAAAAGACAUGCUUACACAUGAAUCUAAAUAUUGCAAAAAACAACCACACAUAGUAACUUUCCAUUUUAAGGGCCUGAACCAUGUGUUGUCGGGGAAAAAAGCAAUGCAAUUAUAACCUAAAUGAGUUCAUAUCAUUCAAAUAAUAUACAAUGCAAAUUAUAAAACAUAAGCAAAUGUGCCCACAAACUAAAGAUAAUGGAAAAAAAAAAAAAAAAAAAAACCUUUGCCUCAGUCCCACAUGGAGUUGGCUCAAAGUCUCUCUCAUAUGAGAUCCUUGCAGGUUGAUUUCUUUCUUCUAUUAGUGUGUUAAGAUCACCAUAUUGGAUAAUGUGAGCUUCACUUUGUGCUGUACAUGAGUUUGUACUUCAAACGACUAUUGAAAGCAUUAAUAGCAUUGGCUUUUAACUAAUUGUUGCUAGUUUACUAUUUAGGUGGAUGGUUGGAUUAAUGAUUCAUUGGUUGCUAGUGUGAUAAGUAGAUGGUUUAUUCUGUCACUUGCUUUUGCUUAAUUGCCUUGGGCGCUAUUUUUAGUUUUCCUUCGAACUGUGUUGAAUUCGAAUUGUUUAGUGGGAACAAUUUGUGGAUUUGCUGGAAUGAUAGAGUAAAUAUUAGAUUUUGGCAGUCGCGCCCACCUUACUGUAAAAAAUGUGUAAUAGCUUUGCAAUUAGUUUCAUUACAUUGUUUUAGGCCCUGUUUGGUAGACGCCUAAAAAUGAGUUGACCCUGUUUUAGUUAUUAUUUAUUAGAGAUUCUCAUACGUAAUACAUAAUGGGUUUAUGUGUGAUUAUAUAUUAGUGGUGAAGAUCUCUGAUUCAUAACUACUGUUAACUAAAAUGCGAUCGACUCAUUUUUAGGCGUCUACCAAACAGGGCCUUAGACUUAGUUUUUUGAGUUAAAACUACUGAAACAGAAAUGCUUCAGUGCUCUAAGACCACUAUAAAUUAUAGCACUCCUAGUUGCAUGUAGUUGUGUUGGGACACUUGGACUGUCUAAAUCCACUUAUCGAGACUGUUCGUUAGGUCCAAUGCACAUUUCGUGGGCAACCAUUCAAGCCUCACAACAAUGUAACAAGCUUUAAUAUGGCUGUCAAGAUAAUCUUCCCAAAAAUAGGUCCAAUGAACAAUUUAAUCCAUCUAUUUGUUAGAGGCCAUCAUGGAUUGCUUGUGAUUCUAAAGAAUCACUUCCUAUUAGGUAAACCAUCCACGCCUUCGAAAAAUGAUGGUUACAAAAAGAAAAAAAGAAAAAAAGAAGCAAAUCAAGGAUGGAUCGCAUCAUCCAAUCAGUGGGAUUUUUUGCAUGGUAGCCUGAGAGGUGUUCUGGACUUGAUGGAGAGUUCAGAUCAACGAUUGGACUAUCCAACCGAACUGAUGCAACUAGUUUUACUGGAGCAUUUCUCAUUAAAAAUUUGGUAUGUAUUUAUAUGUAAAGUGUAUGACAUAUGAUAAGUUAAUAAAAGAUUUUCACGUCGAUUCUCAAGGUUUGCACCUAGGCUCUUCGGUCGCUUCAUGGCACUUGCACCUGACGAGCUGCGAAGACCUCUAACCACUUCAGAUUGGACCAAUGGGUUCUCGUUGUUUUAGGUCCUGACAAACUGCCCUUUUAGACUAACAUGUGCGGAUGGAUUCCCAGGCCUUGAUGUUUUUCCUUUUCAUCAUUUUAACAACUUCUUCAAUGGGUGUUCGGGCAUUUUCUGCUUAAUCUGUGGUGAAGCAUGAUGGUGGUUUUUU